AUGAGCAUUCUUGGGGUUAAGCAUGGUCUGUGCCAGUCAGACCACACUGCACGGUAUGAGAAGCCACACAAACGGAGGCUCUGUUCUCCCAGCCCUCUCACAAGCACCGAACCAGGAAAACAACAGCGCUCUCUCUCGUCAACGAGCAGCUCCCUUUUCCAUAUAAUAAGGGGGUCAAAAGCCAGACAACCUCCAGGCCUGGGGACGCAGAUCAACCCCUGGGGACCUGCAGCUCACUGGCUCCAGGGGAGGAGAUCAAUUCUGCUUGGUCAGAAAUGGAAAACCAUGCAUCCCCUUGGUCAACUGCUGUAAGAUUUAAAAACCUCGCCAUAGGGCAGCUCCGUCAGCUCCUUGGAAAAUGACGACAGCUCUGAGGCGCGCAGCCAGGCCCGGCAGUGCGGCAGGAUUUAAGCGCUGCCGCUGGAGACUCUGCCCGUCUCGUGAGGCACUUUCACCCCCCGCCUCCCGCUGCUCUCCUCUUUCUCACCCGGCCCCAGCCUUCUUCUACACAGGUCCCUGCUUCUCACUUAAUUCUACCCAACACACGUGAGAGACAGACACACAGCUAAUUCCGGGCCUGUCUUUUUUCCAUAUCUCUUCAGCAGCAAGCAGCAAGCUGUGAAACGCUUUGUGGGUGACAGAUUGUGUUUUCAAGUGAAAUGGUGUUGCUUAUUUAAGGCAGAGGGUGAAAAUGAUUAUUCCAAGACAUGAAAAUCACGUGCACUCUUAAUACCUAGGUGAUAUGCAGACAAAAUGUAAAGGUUACCCUUAGAAAAAUAAAAUUCCAGCUUUUUGGCCCCCAUACCAUUUGUUUAUACUUCCCCUAAGGGACAGAUACAGAGAACCCAGGCAAUGUCUUAACAGCUUUUGGUCAAUAGGUGGCACAGUGUUGAUUCGAUUCACUCUUUUCAUCAAGUGUGAACAAACAGACUGUGUAUUUAAUGGUCUACAUACCGUGCACGCACUCAGGUCUUCUGUCCUGAGUAUUACAAUGAGAGACUGCCUCGAUUGUUUCAGUGAAGAUCGUUGUGUAACUCCCGGAUAUUCUUGAAACCUAAACCCUAUCCUUCAGAAUGCCCAGCCACUAAAAGCGUUGUUUUAAUCCCACUGUUGUAGCGAAACAGCAGAAUACAUUGUAUUUUUAACUUAAACGUAUGACCACCAGGAGGUCCCAAUCAGAUUUUCAUUUCAGCCUUAAGCAAGAACUACAGGCUGGUGGCAUCAUGUUUUUAAGAACCUAAAAGACAAUGAGGGUAGGCAGACUUUUAAUAGGCCUGCAUUCUUCUACAGCACCAUGGAAAAUACUUCACGCCUGUGAAAACCACUGCGAUUUUAAGUGUAUGGAGUUUUGACAAGACCUUGAUUUAACGUACAAUAAGGAAACUCUCACAGCACAGUGGUCCACAGGAAAGAAUACCACUCACUGGUCCACCCACACCACGUCCAGAUGCGACACCAUCUCCCUUCUCCGUCCAGAACUAAUCAGGCCAAGCCUUGCUGAAGAUGGUAUGGCUUCUUUUAAGAUGGUAUGGCUGCUUUUGCACAAACAAAUGCACGCUGGCAAUAGCGGUAUAGUCUGCUGAUCUGUUCCAAUGGCACUCUGAGGGUAAACAUGUAUGACAUGAAUAUGCUACUUUUUGCUUUUUUUGUAGAUACAUUUGUCUUUGCCCUAUAAAGAGUACGCAAUGUAUACAUAGCAAGGUAAAUGGAGGAUUAUCACCUCUCUAAUAAGAAGAUACUGUUGAUUGAGACCCAGCCCUGCUUAAACCUUGUAGGAAUCCUAUUGAAGCAUAAGGCACAGAUUAGACAGGGAGGACUGCUUUAAGUGAGACUAGAAGGUGUAUUACUUUACCACAUGCUUUUAGCAAUAGUUCAUUCAGCAGCAAUGUUUUAAUCAAAGUGCUGAAUACAGCCAUGCUAAAUACCUCUGAGUCAGACUUCACAGAGAGAAGCCUGUGAAGCAUGCAAUUCAAUAGGCACUUACUAGGGAGUGAAUUUGAUAUUUCUGUCAAAAAGCAGGCUGGCUGUUCUAGUGCAGUCUGUUCAACGGCAGGCAUUCCUUACAAUCUGUUUGAUGUGCCACUGUUGGACUUCCACGUGCCACAAUUGGGAACGCAGACUCUGAACCAAUAGCAGAGUCAUUGUCAGUCAAUUGAAAUUUAGAAAACAUUAAAGUGCAUUCUAUAUACUAUACUUUGUAAAUUGAGUGCACCCUUUUACAUUGACAGCUAUACGAGCACUGCAGGCAUUUCUUUCUCACUGUACACUCCUUGAGUAACUUAGAAAAUGUAACAGACAGCAGUAGUAUCAGUAGUUAAUUACAGUACGUUACACUGAAAUUGGACUCCACUGCACGAAUUGACCAGUGUUAAACACAUGGCCCGCUUUGUCACAACGUGCUGGAAUACAAUAAGAGCAGGAUCAUUUUGCUUUCUCACUCACUGGUGUUAAAUCACAGAUCUAUUAAUAGUAUGUGCAGGACAAUGAAGGAAAAAGCUAUUCUUACCAGGCUGGUCUGCUCUCCAAGCUCUCUCCUUAUUAUUAAAAUCCAUGAUUCCUCUGAUCUGAGUAACAGUUUCCAGCUGUAAUUUGGAAAAAAAAAUCUGCAGUCUUUCAGCGUGAGUACUGUUUUGGUUUUUUUUCUCUUAGUUUUUUCACAAGAAAAAGAUAUCUAAAUAUCAAACUUUUUUUUAGCUUUGUAAGGCUGAUAAUUUCAGGGGCUGGAAGAAUGGGGGCGUGAAUGCUCGUGUGUGUAUCUGCAGCAGGGGCUUAAAUUCCUACACUUCCCACUUUCCGAUUUCCUAGGCGGUUUGCUGCAGUCACACCACAUCGACUUGUAGUAUCUGAGCUUCUAAGAAUGUGACUCAGCCCUGCUUUCUUUUGCACAAUUAUGACUAUUUCCUUCCCCACAGAGUACAACACAAGGCCAGUGCUUAUCAGCUCAAUUUCAUGCCUUUUCAGCUGCCUACCAGAAAAGCGCCUGGCUCCUGUGAUGUAGCAGCACACAUGUAGCCUCCUUCACCCAGCACAGUAUGAAAAUUUGACUUCAGAUGCUUAAAGUUUGCAGCACAAAGCAUAUCAGAACAGUAAAUAGGUUCCAA
RNAcentral lists this long non-coding RNA (3101 nucleotides) under Lepisosteus oculatus (spotted gar). RNAcentral describes it as "lncRNA (ENSLOCG00000021362.1)". Lineage: Eukaryota; Metazoa; Chordata; Actinopteri; Semionotiformes; Lepisosteidae. The record is from RNAcentral.